GAAGAGUGGCGAACGGGUGAGUAACACGUGGGUAACCUGCCCAUCAGAAGGGGAUAACACUUGGAAACAGGUGCUAAUACCGUAUAACAAUCGAAACCGCAUGGUUUUGAUUUGAAAGGCGCUUUCGGGUGUCGCUGAUGGAUGGACCCGCGGUGCAUUAGCUAGUUGGUGAGGUAACGGCUCACCAAGGCCACGAUGCAUAGCCGACCUGAGAGGGUGAUCGGCCACAUUGGGACUGAGACACGGCCCAAACUCCUACGGGAGGCAGCAGUAGGGAAUCUUCGGCAAUGGACGAAAGUCUGACCGAGCAACGCCGCGUGAGUGAAGAAGGUUUUCGGAUCGUAAAACUCUGUUGUUAGAGAAGAACAAGGAUGAGAGUAACUGUUCAUCCCUUGACGGUAUCUAACCAGAAAGCCACGGCUAACUACGUGCCAGCAGCCGCGGUAAUACGUAGGUGGCAAGCGUUGUCCGGAUUUAUUGGGCGUAAAGCGAGCGCAGGCGGUUUCUUAAGUCUGAUGUGAAAGCCCCCGGCUCAACCGGGGAGGGUCAUUGGAAACUGGGAGACUUGAGUGCAGAAGAGGAGAGUGGAAUUCCAUGUGUAGCGGUGAAAUGCGUAGAUAUAUGGAGGAACACCAGUGGCGAAGGCGGCUCUCUGGUCUGUAACUGACGCUGAGGCUCGAAAGCGUGGGGAGCAAACAGGAUUAGGAUACCCUGGUAGUCCACGCCGUAAACG
This 733-nucleotide ribosomal RNA is filed under the name Enterococcus durans. RNAcentral's name for it is "bacterial SSU rRNA". It matches the Rfam family "Bacterial small subunit ribosomal RNA", at positions 90 to 808 of the family's 1533-position model. Lineage: Bacteria; Bacillati; Bacillota; Bacilli; Lactobacillales; Enterococcaceae. The record is from RNAcentral.